GACGAACGCUGGCGGCGUGCCUAAUACAUGCAAGUCGAGCGCAGGAAGCCGUCUGAACCCUUCGGGGGGACGACGGUGGAAUGAGCGGCGGACGGGUGAGUAACACGUAAAGAACCUGCCCAUAGGUCUGGGAUAACCACGAGAAAUCGGGGCUAAUACCGGAUGUGUCAUCGGACCGCAUGGUCAGCUGAUGAAAGGCGCUCCGGCGUCGCCCAUGGACGGCUUUGCGGUGCAUUAGCUAGUUGGUGGGGUAACGGCCCACCAAGGCGACGAUGCAUAGCCGACCUGAGAGGGUGAUCGGCCACACUGGGACUGAGACACGGCCAGACUCCUACGGGAGGCAGCAGUAGGGAAUCUUCCACAAUGGACGAAAGUCUGAUGGAGCAACGCCGCGUGAACGAUGAAGGCUUUCGGGUCGUAAAGUUCUGUUGUAAGGGAAGAACAAGUGCCGCAGGCAAUGGCGGCACCUUGACGGUACCUUGCGAGAAAGCCACGGCUAACUACGUGCCAGCCGCCGCGGUAA
This 523-nucleotide ribosomal RNA is filed under the name uncultured bacterium. RNAcentral's name for it is "partial 16S ribosomal RNA". It matches the Rfam family "Bacterial small subunit ribosomal RNA", at positions 28 to 523 of the family's 1533-position model. The record is from RNAcentral.